CCUACGGGCGGCAGCAGUGGGGAAUAUUGCACAAUGGGCGAAAGCCUGAUGCAGCAACGCCGCGUGAGUGAUGAAGGCCUUCGGGUUGUAAAGCUCUGUCUUUUGGGACGAUAAUGACGGUACCAAAGGAGGAAGCCACGGCUAACUACGUGCCAGCAGCCGCGGUAAUACGUAGGUGGCAAGCGUUGUCCGGAUUUACUGGGCGUAAAGGAUGCGUAGGCGGAUUUUUAAGUCAGAUGUGAAAUACCCGAGCUUAACUUGGGUGUUGCAGUUGAAACUGGAAGGCUAGAGUGCGGGAGAGGAGAGUGGAAUUCCUAGUGUAGCGGUGAAAUGCGUAGAGAUUAGGAAGAACACCAGUGGCGAAGGCGACUCUCUGGACCGUAACUGACGCUGAGGCAUGAAAGCGUGGGUAGCAAACAGGAUUAGAUACCCCAGUAGUC
This 440-nucleotide ribosomal RNA is filed under the name uncultured bacterium. RNAcentral's name for it is "partial 16S ribosomal RNA". It matches the Rfam family "Bacterial small subunit ribosomal RNA", at positions 338 to 795 of the family's 1533-position model. The record is from RNAcentral.